CGGAGGGUGCAAGCGUUGUCCGGAUUUAUUGGGUUUAAAGGGUGCGUAGGCGGUUUAUUAAGUCAGUGGUAAAAGACGGUCGCUCAACGAUUGCAGUGCCAUUGAUACUGGUAGACUUGAGUAUGAUUGAGGUAGCUGGAAUGGAUAGUGUAGCGGUGAAAUGCAUAGAUAUUAUCCAGAACACCAAUUGCGUAGGCAAGUUACUAAGUCAUAACUGACGCUGAGGCACGAAAGUGUGGGUAUCAAACAGGAUUAGAUACCCUGGUAGUCCACACUGUAAACGAUGAUAACUAACUGUUGGCCUUUGGGUCAGUGGUGCAGAGAAAUCGUUAAGUUAUCCACCUGGGGAGUACGCCGGCAACGGUG
This 366-nucleotide ribosomal RNA is filed under the name uncultured organism. RNAcentral's name for it is "bacterial SSU rRNA". It matches the Rfam family "Bacterial small subunit ribosomal RNA", at positions 526 to 896 of the family's 1533-position model. The record is from RNAcentral.